AAAUGCUUAAAUCAGGGACACUUGAGCC
Molecule: small RNA, 28 nt
Filed under: Bombyx mori (domestic silkworm)
Lineage: Eukaryota; Metazoa; Arthropoda; Insecta; Lepidoptera; Bombycidae
Description: ovarian small RNA-10158
Source: RNAcentral